Molecule: long non-coding RNA, 275 nt
Filed under: Eucalyptus grandis
Lineage: Eukaryota; Viridiplantae; Streptophyta; Magnoliopsida; Myrtales; Myrtaceae
Description: long non-coding RNA (EGRA_LNC002630)
Source: RNAcentral
CCAAUCUUCUUUUCCUCUUCCUCUCCCUCCCCCUCACGCUGUCUGCAGAGAGGAGGAAAAGCAAAGUUUGAGCCAUAGGAGACAGAGGAUCGUGAGGGAGCAGGGGGUAGCGGAUCGCGCAACAUGAUCUCAAGGUCGGAGCUAGAUCGGCAAGGCAGCUGGCGGUGGCAAAAGCCAUGCGCGCUUGCUGGCCGAGCUUGAAAACUAGAGAGAUAUUCUUGGGGGGAGGCCUUUUCUUGUUCGGCUGUGAGAGAGCAAACCCGAGAGAGUAAUAA